This is a long non-coding RNA of Sphaeramia orbicularis (orbiculate cardinalfish), 1737 nucleotides long. RefSeq lists it as uncharacterized. NCBI's taxonomy places the organism in Eukaryota, Metazoa, Chordata, Actinopteri, Kurtiformes, Apogonidae. The record is from RefSeq and is a predicted model, not a curated record. The transcript has 3 exons.
GGCCCGUAUCAUAUCAGGACCUGGCGGGAGUCAUGCUGCAGCUGGAGUCCAAAUCCAAUGCAUUGUGAUGGACUGAGUAAAUAGUCAAGUACUUAAAUAACUUGAAUCAGCAGGGAGAACACCAGUCUCCUCAUCUCUGACGUACAUGCAUUGACGUCACUGACUUAACACUGUUUGCACAGCAGGAAUUGUUCCCAAAUGAAAGAGCAGCGGUCCUGGAUCGAGUCUGUCUGUGGAUCCACAAUGCCACUCCUUGGUGACUUCACACAUAACUGUCGGUACAGAGGCUUUUCUAGUCAAGUAGAUGCGCUGCGUCACUGCAAAUCUCUAAUGGAGCAGUGUGGCUGGGGAUUUGAGCUGUCAUCCUCCCAGCUGAACUAAAGCUACCACCUACCAGCUUCAAACCUUUCAGCUGCUACUGCCCCUCCAUGAUAUAUGACCACGGGAUCCUGUUCAUCUCCUGUCAAUGCGUGUGAGUGGCUACUAUCUUUUCAAUAGACGUUCCAAAUGAUAUGGCCAUAACAGAUGCAGGUCAUGAAUCAAAGGUCUUAAACCACCCGGCUAGUUGAUCUGUUCCACAGGUGCUACUGUCCGAUCCACUCUGGAUACACAACAAGGAGUCACGACAAAGAAAUACACAGAUGGUCGACCCUGUUCUACUGUCCCAGGCUCGGCUUUCUGCUGUGCACUGUGUACCUGAUGCAUGUCUACAUCAGAGCCUUGUAUGGACCACACUGACUACGCCUGCCUCAUGUGAACUGAGCGAGUGAACGCAAUGACCCCGUCCAAUCAACAAAGCCUCAGAGGAAGGGGAGAAAAAUUCUGUACAGCAUAUCAAAGCAUAACUCAAGUGCCCUUUUAGUUGGCCCACCUCAAAUUAGAAAAGCAUAAAAGAAGAAAAAAAAAAAAAACUUGUGAGUGCUUGAAAAAUAAGGAUCACACAUGUUUUGAAUAUGCUGAAUUUUAAUUGAUAAUAAAUUGUGCUUUUGUAGACCCCAAACUAUGUAUUGAAGUGGUUAAAGGUGUUUUUUUAAUUGGACAUAAGCUGGAAAAUAAGAGGAGAAGAAAAAUAAUUGAUGGCUUUUGAGGUUGUUUUGAUAGUUGAACCAGUUUCCUCAGCUGAACUGUGGGUUGCACCUGCAAAUGCUAUAAAUUUCUCCACUAAAAUUACAGUAUUAUGUGUCUGGUUGCUUAAGGGACAUAUGCAAUGUAUAGCAAAGUCAUGCACUUAAUCAUGCUGUUGAGAAAUCAUUAGGGAACCAAAGAGACCCAUAGUGUUCUUGAAACACUUUGACCAUGCUUCAGUUCCAGUUUAUACUAAGUUGUACUCAAACUUCUUUCCUUGUGACCCUUAAAAAUCUAACGCUGGACCUGCUCACAAGUUAUGACCUCAUUUUAUGCACGAGUCUGCAGUCUGCAAAGCAAUGUAUUUACUCAAAAAAUGUGCUAAAUUCAUAUUUACUUAUUCAAAAGGUCAUUACAUUAAAAAUAACUACACAUGGGAGACAAUGCAUGAUGACAGUGGUUUAAUGAGUGAUGUGAAUUGUAUGCUUUGACUUUCAAAGUGAGAUCUCAACCCAUCUGCGACAUAUAUGUAUGCAGACGAUAACACAAACUGUGGCGCUGAAUUAAACGAGGAACUUGACACAAAUGGAAAAUGGAUCCUGGAAAACAAUCUGAUAAUUAAUACAUCUGAAACAAAAAGUAUCAUAUUUGGCUCAAGCUUGUCCCUAAAGA